UCAAGCAAUGCUCAGAGUUUCAUGGAAAGCAUAUUGCAAACCUCCUUGGAAAUGGCCCUCUGAAAGUUACAAAUGUCUGUAUAUGUGGCAUAGCUUGAAGAUGGGGGGCAUUCUGUGAGCACAGGCAGAACAUCAGAAGAUCUCUCUAGGAACUUUGAAACAUUAUGGAAUGUCCAUGCACCUGAAUGAUGUCAAGAACAUGGCAGAUUCCUGAAGAAGACUUGGACUUUCGGUGGCAUGGAAAGAUGCUAGGUGUUACAGCUACUCAGGUGCCAGAUGACACAGCUGCGUCUCUUGCUAGAGUGUCAAAGGAUUAGCGAUACAUUGGAGAAGAUUUCUGAUCUGGAAUUCUUUAAGAAGAACAAGAUAACUUUCCUCCAGCUUCUUUCAUGAAACCAGAAGUGACCAAUGUAUGGCUGCAAGACUGUAUGCAAUCACCAAUUCACCUUUCUUUGCCCCUUGGAGCUGCACCUGAGGAUAAAUGCUAAAAAUCAGUGUCCUGAUUUCCCACCAUUUUGAGACACAAUAAAGACAAAAACGGCAGUCUAAGCUCUUAAUGGCCUUAAAUCACUCAACUCCAUUUCCAAAACAAGAGAAAUGUACAUUCCCAAACCUGCACCUGUGAAGUGAAUGGUUAUAUCUCCUUCACCUUAUUGCUCCACCCACUGCAAAAUGGUGGCUUUUUGUGGGUUCAGAAUCCUUUAAUUCCAAGAGUAAGUCUUUUGUAUCAAGUCCCAUCUGGUUGGUGUUGAAGAUAGUGGUGUAAAUAUAAAAAGGGAUAGGGGCUACCUUCAGGCCAACAGGCACAGCUGAAGAUUCCAGUCAGACUUUAAUUUCUAAACCACAAACAUUGCAAUGGGAAAAUCAAUGCAUUUGUCUUAAGGUAGGGUCAGAGUGGCAAGCAAAAAUGCAGCAGACACCAUAGCAGGGGUGUCAAAAUGGCAGCCCACAGGCUGGAUGCGCCACAUGCAGGCCACACCCAUUCCAGCUCCGCAAAGAGGAAAAACAUCACGAAAUAUCACAUGACGGCAACUUGACAGCAUGAGUUUGACACCUGUCUCUUAGUGCAUGCUCUAGUGCACAACUACUAGAUAGUUGCAAAUAGAUACCAAAUGUUUUAAUUAUUUGCUCCCAUCUAUUACCUGUCCAGAUAUUUACAUUUCAGAUCUGGCACCACUAGUACUGAUACUACACAGUGCUGCCCACCUUCAGGAGAACAUCCCAAAUUACCAUUGCUUCAGUUUGGCCCCUUGAGUGGCUCCUGUGUACAAGCUCUGGAUACCACAACGUAACUGUAUCUCUAAAUAUAAUCACUAGUGCUUAAACCAAUGAUCAAGGUUUGCCUUGGUGUUCAGAGAGAGAAUUCCAUGUAUGCCCUUAGCCAAGGAAGUUGUAAGUAAGUAGGUAAGUAAGUAAGUAAUUAUAUAAGUUAAAAUUUACGCAUGUUUGUGUUGAAUAUGGAAGGAAAUACAGGCCACAAAUUUCAGAAUCUUCUCAGUAGCAGUUCAAUUAAAGACAGAUUUUUUAUCAGUGCCAAUUAAUGUCUUUCUAAUUGCAGCCAUCAUCUUAUCUUUAAUUUUUUGAGGUUUCUGCUUCUAUUUUGAAACAGAGGAAGGAUUGCCUAAAUUUUUGCAUCCCUAUAGCACUAUUAGUUGCUAUGCUCUGAAGAAGCAUUAGUCAUCUAGAGAGAUAUUUAAAAGGAUUUCCCCACUCAUUCUAGGAAUAUUCAUGUAGGAUCUAUCUGUUUGUAUGCACUUUCCAGAAAAUGUUGAAAUGGGCAGAUUAUUCUCGUUAUUUGCUAGGAGAGAAUUUCCCCCAACUGUUUUAUAUUCUCUUUUAGCUAUCAACAGAAUUAAUAUGAAUUAAUGCUGCUCUGGUUGACAUUUAUUAAUCAGAUUUUCUCUGGCCCCAAAUGAGAGUAAUUAGGAUUUCAUGGAUUUGCUGAUACUUUUUUUCCCCACUCCAUCCACCAUGAUCUGACUGAUAUGAAAUGUAUGUUUAUAUUCUCUAUAUGACAAAAAUCAGACAUUUUACAAAACUUGACCAAGGUAGCCUAUUGCAAUCAGUUCUAUCCACACUGAGAUGUGCAACUUGUAAAGAACUAAGCCAAGGCCAGGUCAAAAGCUAAACUUUAUUUCAUUUCAGCAACAGUGAAAUUAAAUGCAGUGAAUCUUACAACUUGUCAUAUGUUCCAUAGGGUAUAAUGCUGAAAGCUUAUAGAAUGACUUCGGCCCAACUUCCUCUACCCCAGCGGUUCUCAACUUGUGGAUUGCGACCCCUUUUGGAGUCGAACAACUGUUUCACAGGGGUCGCUGAGACCAGCGCAACUCUAAAGUUUAGACUCCACCUCACGUUCCUUCAAAUCCCCGCGGAUGGGUUCCUGAAUGUCCGUGCAGAGGUCACUGCGGCUCCACACCAUAAAAACAUAGGUCUGUAAUUUGAUUGUUUUUAGGAGCAUAAACAGUAUGGGAUUCUUCAGAAUAUAGAAAACUUACAUGAAGGAGUUCUUCAAAUAGUUUGAGUAAAAUUUUGGUGACAAUAUCACCUCCAAAGCUACAUUUGGGAAUGCCUAACUGCUCCCCUGUAUUGAUUUUGGAUUGAAUCUACUAUUAUUAUUAAAGUUACUUAUCAGUUUUCAAAUUCAUUGGGGUACAGGUGUCCAGAGAUCUUCCUAAAAUUGCUCCUAUACUAAUAUUAUUUAUUAGUAUAGGAGCAACAAAAGGAAAAGUAUUAAAUAUACUAGGAGAUAAUAAUUUUAAUCGUAUUUCAGUAAUUUAAAAUAAAUAAAGUUUCUGGCCCAGAUCUGCCCACAUCUUUGCCCUAGCUCAACCUUCUUUUUUCAAAUAUGGCCUCAGAUGCCAUUGAGAGACCCAACGUGGGCCUUGGCUCCUGAAGAUCAGUGAUUGAUGGAUGCUAGGAAUGUGCGAUCUAAAAAAAAAAAUCAACUGCAGACUUCUCCAGCUUGGUUUGUCCAGAUUGAUGGUACUCCAACACCCAGACUUCUGUGCCCAAUUCUAGGAAUUCCAGCUUAAAAUAUUCUUGAACUCAAAAUGGGCCAAAAUGAGGAAAGCUGACCAACUACAUUUAUAUGCACGGUUCUAUAGUUGCCAUGGAAGCAAAAAGCACCAUGGGGAUAUUGACAGUCAACUGAUAUUAUAUUAAAAUCCUGAUGCCUGAUCAUCGCCUGAUGCUGGAAUAAUAUUGUUCCCAUUAUCAUAAUUCUAGAAUGGGGAAAAGAAGGGAAAGGAGGGGCCUAUCCACUGGCGAGAUUCAGCCGGUUCACACUAGUUCAGUAGAACUGGUUGCUACUUUUUUAUGGAGUUCAGCGAACCGGCUGAAUAGCGUGCCUUGCCAUGCCACAGCAACGGCCCCACCUCGCCCCUCCCUUCCCUGCCAGAAAGUGGCCAGGAGACUAGGCGAUGGCCAUAUAAUCUGUUGGGUGAGGCCAGGAGGCCAGGCGAAGUGAGGCACCCCUUGACGUGAGUGAUGUUGAGUUGGCCACGUCCACCCAGUCAUAUAACCACCCAGCCACGCCUACCCAGCCGGUCAUUAGGACAGAGAACCAGUUGUUAAAUUAUUUGAAUCCCACCACUGGGCCUAUCUAGAUGUAGUCUGACCAUAGGAAAUGCCUGACAGAGUGGCAACCCCUCUUCUAGAAUUUACAAAGAAGAAAGUUCUGGGGAACAGUAGAAACACUGAACACUGAAGGAUAUGUUGGCUACAGAUAGUUUCACAUUCCGUUUGUCACUCUUGUAUUUCUAUGGCAUUAUUUCCCAGAGUUUACAACAGACAUUACAUGGCAUGUGAAAAUAAUCUUUUUAAAAAAAGGCAAGCUAGAAGAGUUAGCAAAAACCUUCAAGGAAAUGCUAAGUUUGAAUGAAAUAAUGUGGAGAGAGAAUUAAACUGCACAAGGACAAGGAAAGGUGUUGCCAAAGAAACAGCUUAUGAAGAUAAGAUAAAUUAAGCAUACUUGACAAGCCAUUUCGCACAGAGAAGAGAAUCAUUGCAUCACAAAAUCUAAAUAAAGAAAUACUGAACAACAGGUGCAUGAUCAACUGUGAAUUAAACUAUGUAAGAGGAGGCUGUUAGAAGCUAUUUUCCUGGCUAAGCAUCUGCAUUCAAAUGGAAGAUUUUAUGUCAGCAUGUAUAAGAAAGCAUUUAUUAAGAAAUAAAAUCUAAGAAGAAAUGGUUAUCAUCAGGUUAGUCUUUGGGAAUGCAUAAAACUGACUAACAUAGGACCUCAAUACCAUAUUCAGUUGGAUUAAUUAUGCAAUUCCCUAGGGUGGGAAAAGAAAAAUCUGUAGUAUACAGAAGAACGUGUGAUCAAUGUCACAUGGAAAAUGAAUGUAGUUGCCUAUGUACCAACAUGAGAUUCAGAGCAAUUAUUCUAUAUGACAUUAAAAUUCCAUAAAGAACAAAUACGACUCUUAUUGUACCAAAAGUCAAAUGGAUUUUAAAACUCAUUCAAAUGAUUACUUCAGUAGGCAGAAUGAAAAGAAAACCAAUUAGUGGAUAUAUCAAAGUUAUAGGAUGGACGGGGCAUAUUGGAGAUGUGGCAUUUUUAACCAAGUGAUUAGACUACAACAAACACAGCAUUACUUCUACAAUUCUCUAUUCUGUGGAUAACUGCAGACAAUUCAGCAGAUUCCACAAAAUUAUAUGAUAGCAAAAUGUCCAGUAGUCAGAUGCUUAAAGAAGCAGCAGCACUUAAAAUUGGACAAUUUCAUUAAUAACCUCUAGUUUGGAAGGGAACAUUAAUAGAAAUAACUAUUAUUAGAGGAAUAAAGGAUUCUGUUGUGCACAAUAAGAAAGAAUAAGAGUAUAUGUGUACAAUUCUAAUCAAAUUUGGUGUGCCUGUCCUGAGGCACAGCAAAUUGCUCUAAAGCUGUUUUCAAGGUAAGAAAUUUUGAUGAAAUCUUUUUCAAUAAUAGGACAUUAAAGCUUUACAUGAUUUAUUUAUUGUGUGUAUAUAGUCAUCCAUCUAAAAAAAAUUACUCUAGCCAUCAAAGGCUCGGGAAUAUUCUUUUGUAAAUAGUACUUCAUAUAGCAAUACCUGUACCAGCUCAGGGAAUUUUCAUUUAGCAAUAGCAAUAGCAGUUAGACUUAUAGCAAUAGCAGUUAGACUGCCGCUCUGAUUGCGUCCGCUAAGUCGCGCCCUGCCACCUUGUUU
Thamnophis elegans (Western terrestrial garter snake) is the source of this 5170-nucleotide long non-coding RNA. RefSeq lists it as uncharacterized. The transcript is spliced from 5 exons. The record is from RefSeq and is a predicted model, not a curated record. NCBI's taxonomy places the organism in Eukaryota, Metazoa, Chordata, Lepidosauria, Squamata, Natricidae.